CGUACUGGGCUGCAAGGGGCGGGUGGAGUGCGGAGGUGGCAAGUGUUGUCCGGAUUGAUUGGGCGUAAAGCGAGCGCAGGCGGUUUUUUAAGGCGGAUGUGAAGGCCCUCGGCUUAACCGAGGAAGCGCAUCGGAAACUGGGAAACUUGAGUGCAGAAGAGGACAGUGGAACUCCAUGUGUAGCGGUGAAAUGCGUAGAUAUAUGGAAGAACACCAGUGGCGAAGGCGGCUGUCUGGUCUGUAACUGACGCUGAGGCUCGAAAGCAUGGGUAGCGAACAGGAUUAGAUACCCGAGUAGUC
This 300-nucleotide ribosomal RNA is filed under the name uncultured Lactobacillus sp. Its description in RNAcentral is "bacterial SSU rRNA". It matches the Rfam family "Bacterial small subunit ribosomal RNA", at positions 497 to 795 of the family's 1533-position model. Lineage: Bacteria; Bacillati; Bacillota; Bacilli; Lactobacillales; Lactobacillaceae. The record is from RNAcentral.